Molecule: ribosomal RNA, 444 nt
Filed under: uncultured bacterium
Lineage: Bacteria
Description: bacterial SSU rRNA
Rfam family: Bacterial small subunit ribosomal RNA
Source: RNAcentral
CCUACGGGAGGCUGCAGUGGGGAAUAUUGGGCAAUGGAGGAAACUCUGACCCAGCAAUGCCGCGUGAGCGAAGAAGGUCUUCGGAUUGUAAAGCUCUUUGAUUGGGGACGAAGUAAGUGACGGUACCCAAGGAACAAGCCCCGGCUAACUAUGUGCCAGCAGCCGCGGUAAUACAUAGGGGGCGAGCGUUGUCCGGAAUUACUGGGCGUAAAGGGUGUGUAGGCGGUUUUUUAAGUUAGAAGUGUAAUACCCAGGGCUUAACUCGGGUGCUGCUUCUAAAACUGGAAGACUUGAGUGUAGGAGAGGAGAAUGGAAUUCCUAGUGUAGCGGUGGAAUGCAUAGAUAUUAGGAGGAACGCCGGAGGCGAAAGCGAUUCUCUGGACUACAACUGACGCUGAGGCACGAAAGCGUGGGGAGCAAACAGGAUUAGAUACCCGAGUAGUC